This 920-nucleotide long non-coding RNA is filed under the name Musa acuminata (dwarf banana). RNAcentral describes it as "long non-coding RNA (MACU_LNC001157)". The record is from RNAcentral. Lineage: Eukaryota; Viridiplantae; Streptophyta; Magnoliopsida; Zingiberales; Musaceae.
GUACCAACAAAAUUGAGAAACUGAUAUAUUAUAAAACUAGAUUGUCACAUUGACUACAAAUGUGCAACAUGAAAUAUAUUUCAAUAAAAAAUAUUUUGUGGUAUACAAUGGUCAAAAGAAACCAAAUUUUAAAAAGGUCACACAAGAAAAGGCCAACAUAGUAGAUCAUCUGCAAAUUUGCCAAAAUUGCAACCCAUGGGAAAGCAUGGAUCCUGGAAAAAUAUUACAAAAAUAAUAUUAGACAUAAGAAAAGUCAAAUUUUCAAAUGUCCCAGAUAGCAGCAAAGUUAAGACCAUCUCAGAUUCAAAAAGAAUGCUGAUUCAAUAUAGCUGUUUUAAAAAAAAAAUUAGAAGAUGCAUCACUUACAAUUUUCUUAACUAUUUCAUGGAGAGAAUGCAAAAUCUUUAUCAUGCUGGAAGAGUCCCUAACAACCACAAUGUUAAUAAAAGUUAUUGGUAUGAAAAUUUUAUAUUUGUGUUUGUCAGUAUGUCUAAAGAAACAACUGAUAGGGUGGAACGUCAAUUGUAAAUGUACUUUGUUAUUUAGGCAUAAUUAGUGUUUGUUGGAUGCGAGAGACUUCUUUUUCUAAUAUUUCCAAAGAAUCUAUGUUUACAAGAAUUACUAAUUGCCAAAACAGAAGCAAAAGUUUCUCUGCUUGCAUUAUAAACAUUUGAAGUUAACAUUCUGCUAUUAUCAGCAAAUGACUAUGAUACUAACAUGCAAAUUUCACCAUUAAAUAUCAAAGCCCUGGUGAAAUUCUUAUAAAGUGAGUUCUCCAUGCAAGCAUAUGUUAAUGCUCAAUCUCCAUCCAAUACAAAAAAUUAAGGAAAAACAAGGGCCACAGUCGGUUGAUAAAUGAUCCAUAUAGAUCCUAAUUUCCUGAAGAUACAUAACUACUCUUAGAUAUAGUUCCAAUAUAU